RNAcentral lists this ribosomal RNA (599 nucleotides) under Aspergillus tubingensis. RNAcentral describes it as "partial 18S ribosomal RNA". The stretch from base 228 to 380 matches the Rfam family "5.8S ribosomal RNA". The record is from RNAcentral. Lineage: Eukaryota; Fungi; Ascomycota; Eurotiomycetes; Eurotiales; Aspergillaceae.
UGUAACAAGGUUUCCGUAGGUGAACCUGCGGAAGGAUCAUUACCGAGUGCGGGUCCUUUGGGCCCAACCUCCCAUCCGUGUCUAUUAUACCCUGUUGCUUCGGCGGGCCCGCCGCUUGUCGGCCGCCGGGGGGGCGCCUUUGCCCCCCGGGCCCGUCCCGCCGGAGACCCCAACACGAACACUGUCUGAAAGCGUGCAGUCUGAGUUGAUUGAAUGCAAUCAGUUAAAACUUUCAACAAUGGAUCUCUUGGUUCCGGCAUCGAUGAAGAACGCAGCGAAAUGCGAUAACUAAUGUGAAUUGCAGAAUUCAGUGAAUCAUCGGUCUUUGAACGCACAUUGCGCCCCCUGGUAUUCCGGGGGGCAUGCCUGUCCGAGCGUCAUUGCUGCCCUCAAGCCCGGCUUGUGUGUUGGGUCGCCGUCCCCCUCUCCGGGGGGACGGGCCCGAAAGGCAGCGGCGGCACCGCGUCCGAUCCUCGAGCGUAUGGGGCUUUGUCACAUGCUCUGUAGGAUUGGCCGGCGCCUGCCGACGUUUUCCAACCAUUUUUUCCAGGUUGACCUCGGAUCAGGUAGGGAUACCCGCUGAACUUAAGCAUAUCAUA